RNAcentral lists this long non-coding RNA (744 nucleotides) under Struthio camelus australis. RNAcentral describes it as "lncRNA (ENSSCUG00000000544.1)". The record is from RNAcentral. Lineage: Eukaryota; Metazoa; Chordata; Aves; Struthioniformes; Struthionidae.
AACAAAGUUUUGUGCCAUCCUGUGAAGCGCUGUGAAGUUUUCCAAUUGCUGUUUCACCUCAGCACUGCAUGUGACUCACAGAACGUGGAGAUGCCUGAGUUUGUAGCGCAGCGUGGAGACCUGCCCAGUGUUACUAUGUGUGCAUGCUGUGCUUGUUACAGAUCCAUGUGGAAGAGCUGUUCCCAGAUCUAACCAGGGUCGACUGCCUUGGCUUGCAAGGAGGCGACUACUGGAGCUGCGUUCAGCUCGGAGAACCGGCGAGCAGAAUUCAGCCCCUGUGUGAGCCGCCUGCACGCUGCUGCAGGCAUCUGACACCGUUUUUAGGGAAGGUGUCACACAUCUAGGGUGGAAGAUUCGCCUUCAGAGUGUGAGGAAAUGAGACGGAUGCUCAGUCCCAGAGCUUCUUCACAUCUGGUCUGCCUCCUGAAUUUGUCAAUAAGCCCACCAACUGUGAUGGUGCCUUUCCAGGCACGCCUGGAAAUCACAGUUGAAUUUAAUGCAGUAUUGACACUUCAGUGAACUGAUUUCUCUGAAUGCCAUGCCAAGCAGAUGAGAAGUCUUGUCAGCCAGUUUGGGUCAAGUCAGUCAUCCAAUCCCCAACCUAUAGCUUGUGGGAGUGGAGUACGACAAAUGAAGUCAUCAGAAAAGCACAAAGGUCUUGUGUCCUUGUGGGGAGAGGUGGAGGUGUAAGAGGAACAAUGUAUUUGAAAUAAAUCAAUAAAUCAAAGAUUCUGGUCCUGGGCC